Molecule: small RNA, 197 nt
Filed under: Streptomyces sp.
Lineage: Bacteria; Bacillati; Actinomycetota; Actinomycetes; Kitasatosporales; Streptomycetaceae
Description: c-di-AMP sequence
Rfam family: c-di-AMP riboswitch aptamer (ydaO/yuaA leader)
About the family: This family represents a conserved RNA structure found upstream of the ydaO and yuaA genes in Bacillus subtilis and related genes in other bacteria. The ydaO/yuaA element is thought to act as a genetic "off" switch for the ydaO and yuaA genes in its native state.
Source: RNAcentral
UCCGGGCGGACGCCGAGUCCUGCCGCCGCCCGGAUGACUGGUCGACAGGAGUGGAUCGGCAGGAGUGGAGGACCCGAGCACUACGGGACCGCCGGAUCUCCGGUUGUCCCUCGGGGUGAAGCCGCCUCGCGCGGCCGGGCAACUUCGCCAGCCCGAACCCGACAGGUCAUCCUUCACAGGCGGCUGACGAAGGGUUG